This 346-nucleotide ribosomal RNA is filed under the name uncultured bacterium. Its description in RNAcentral is "bacterial SSU rRNA". It matches the Rfam family "Bacterial small subunit ribosomal RNA", at positions 29 to 359 of the family's 1533-position model. The record is from RNAcentral.
AACGAACGCUGGCGGCGUGGAUAAGACAUGCAAGUCGAGCGGGAACUUUCGCUGUAGCAAUACAGUGAAAGUUCUAGCGGCGAACGGGUGCGUAACACGUGGACAAUCUGCCUUAAAGUGGGGGAUAGCUCGGCGAAAGCCGAAUUAAUACCGCAUGUGAUGAGAGACGACAUCGUCUUGAAAUUAAAGCCGGGGCAACCUGGCGCUUUUUGAGGAGUCCGCGGCCAUCAGCUUGUUGGUGAGGUAACGGCUCACCAAGGCUAUGACGGGUAGCUGGUCUGAGAGGACGACCAGUCACACUGGAACUGAGACACGGUCCAGACACCUACGGGUGGCAGCAGUCGAG